Molecule: transfer RNA, 68 nt
Filed under: Parexocoetus brachypterus
Lineage: Eukaryota; Metazoa; Chordata; Actinopteri; Beloniformes; Exocoetidae
Description: tRNA-Glu
Rfam family: tRNA
About the family: Transfer RNA (tRNA) molecules are approximately 80 nucleotides in length.
Source: RNAcentral
GUUCUCAUAGUUGAAAUCAACGAUGGUUUUUCAAAUCAUAGGUCCUGGUGAGAAUCCUGGUGAGAAUU